GACUAUGAUCAUACCACCAUGAAUGGACCUGACCUCUUCUGGUCUCAGAAGCUAAGUGUGCCAGGUUAGUACUUGGACGGAGACCACCUGAGAGUACCACUGUUACAGGCU
Molecule: ribosomal RNA, 111 nt
Filed under: Neotoma lepida (desert woodrat)
Lineage: Eukaryota; Metazoa; Chordata; Mammalia; Rodentia; Cricetidae
Source: RNAcentral